Homo sapiens (human) is the source of this 328-nucleotide long non-coding RNA. RefSeq lists it as uncharacterized. The record is from RefSeq and is a predicted model, not a curated record. The transcript has 2 exons. Lineage: Eukaryota; Metazoa; Chordata; Mammalia; Primates; Hominidae.
UGGGUUUCUCUUUUGGAAAUAGGGCAUGUGGAGUGGUGUCAAUUAGAUCUUCUAUUUCUGUUAAUAGGAACUGGGUGAAAACUUAAAAGAUGACUGCUACAAUUGAUAUAUUGCAACCUGUUUGUUGAUGUUGCCCUGAGAUCUGGCCUAAUUAUUUUUGUUCCUAGAAGAGAGUCUAAGCUUCAUCUCAGGCAGCUUUCUUGGAUCACAAGACAGAAAUGUGAACUGAAGAUGGAAGAGUAACAAUACAGAAGAGCUGUGUUCCUGACACUGUCUGGGCCACCAACCAUGACUUGAACCUGAAACAGAAAUAAACCUGUAUCUGGGU